AAUCAUUCACAAUGGGGGAAACCCUGAUGGUGCGACGUCGCGUGGGGGAAUGAAGGUCUUCGGAUUGUAAACCCCUGUCAUGUGGGAGCAAAUUAAAAAGAUAGUACCACAAGAGGAAGAGACGGCUAACUCUGUGCCAGCAGCCGCGGUAAUACAGAGGUCUCAAGCGUUGUUCGGAAUCACUGGGCGUAAAGCGUGCGUAGGCUGUUUCGUAAGUCGUGUGUGAAAGGCGCGGGCUCAACCCGCGGACGGCACAUGAUACUGCGAGACUAGAGUAAUGGAGGGGGAACCGGAAUUCUCGGUGUAGCAGUGAAAUGCGUAGAUAUCGAGAGGAACACUCGUGGCGAAGGCGGGUUCCUGGACAUUAACUGACGCUGAGGCACGAAGGCCAGGGGAGCGAAAGG
This 404-nucleotide ribosomal RNA is filed under the name uncultured bacterium. RNAcentral describes it as "bacterial SSU rRNA". It matches the Rfam family "Bacterial small subunit ribosomal RNA", at positions 360 to 775 of the family's 1533-position model. The record is from RNAcentral.